UAGGGAAUCUUCGGCAAUGGGGGGAACCCUGACCGAGCAACGCCGCGUGAGUGAAGAAGGUUUUCGGAUCGUAAAGCUCUGUUGUUAAGGAAGAACGAGUGUGAGAAUGGAAAGUUCAUACUGUGACGGUACUUAACCAGAAAGGGACGGCUAACUACGUGCCAGCAGCCGCGGUAAUACGUAGGUCCCGAGCGUUGUCCGGAUUUAUUGGGCGUAAAGCGAGCGCAGGCGGUUAGAUAAGUCUGAAGUUAAAGGCAGUGGCUCAACCAUUGUCGGCUUUGGAAACUGUUUAACUUGAGUGCAGAAGGGGAGAGUGGAAUUCCAUGUGUAGCGGUGAAAUGCGUAGAUAUAUGGAGGAACCCCGGUGGCGAAAGCGGCUCUCUGGUCUGUAACUGACGCUGAGGCUCGAAAGCGUGGGGAGCGAACAGG
This 429-nucleotide ribosomal RNA is filed under the name Bacteroidota bacterium. RNAcentral's name for it is "Bacteroidetes bacterium partial 16S ribosomal RNA". It matches the Rfam family "Bacterial small subunit ribosomal RNA", at positions 355 to 776 of the family's 1533-position model. Lineage: Bacteria; Pseudomonadati; Bacteroidota. The record is from RNAcentral.